RNAcentral lists this ribosomal RNA (467 nucleotides) under uncultured bacterium. RNAcentral describes it as "partial 16S ribosomal RNA". It matches the Rfam family "Bacterial small subunit ribosomal RNA", at positions 29 to 507 of the family's 1533-position model. The record is from RNAcentral.
ACGAACGCUGGCGGCGUGCUUAACACAUGCAAGUCGAACGGAAAGGCCCUGCUUUUGUGGGGUGCUCGAGUGGCGAACGGGUGAGUAACACGUGAGUAACCUGCCCUUGACUUUGGGAUAACUUCAGGAAACUGGGGCUAAUACCGGAUAGGAGCUCCUGCUGCAUGGUGGGGGUUGGAAAGUUUCGGCGGUUGGGGAUGGACUCGCGGCUUAUCAGCUUGUUGGUGGGGUAGUGGCUUACCAAGGCUUUGACGGGUAGCCGGCCUGAGAGGGUGACCGGCCACAUUGGGACUGAGAUACGGCCCAGACUCCUACGGGAGGCAGCAGUGGGGAAUAUUGCACAAUGGGCGGAAGCCUGAUGCAGCAACGCCGCGUGCGGGAUGACGGCCUUCGGGUUGUAAACCGCUUUCGCCUGUGACGAAGCGUGAGUGACGGUAAUGGGUAAAGAAGCACCGGCUAACAACGUG